Molecule: ribosomal RNA, 697 nt
Filed under: uncultured Oscillatoriales cyanobacterium
Lineage: Bacteria; Bacillati; Cyanobacteriota; Cyanophyceae; Oscillatoriales
Description: bacterial SSU rRNA
Rfam family: Bacterial small subunit ribosomal RNA
Source: RNAcentral
AGUGGCGGACGGGUGAGUAACGCGUGAGGAUCUGCCCUUAGGAUGGGGACAACAGUUGGAAACGACUGCUAAUACCCAAUGUGCCGAAAGGUGAAAGCUUUAGCGCCUGAGGAUGAACUCGCGUCUGAUUAGCUAGUUGGUAGUGUAAUGGACUACCAAGGCGACGAUCAGUAGCUGGUCUGAGAGGAUGAUCAGCCACACUGGGACUGAGACACGGCCCAGACUCCUACGGGAGGCAGCAGUGGGGAAUUUUCCGCAAUGGGCGAAAGCCUGACGGAGCAACGCCGCGUGAGGGAAGACGGCUCGUGGGUUGUAAACCUCUUUUCUCUAGGAAGAAGAACUGACGGUACUAGAGGAAUCAGCAUCGGCUAACUCCGUGCCAGCAGCCGCGGUAAUACGGAGGAUGCAAGCGUUAUCCGGAAUUAUUGGGCGUAAAGCGUCCGUAGGCGGUUUUACAAGUCUGCUGUUAAAGCGUGCAGCUCAACUGCAUAUAGGCAGUGGAAACUGUAAGACUAGAGUGUAGUAGGGGUAGAGGGAAUUCCCAGUGUAGCGGUGAAAUGCGUAGAUAUUGGGAAGAACACCGGUGGCGAAAGCGCUCUACUGGGCUACAACUGACGCUGAUGGACGAAAGCUAGGGGAGCGAAAGGGAUUAGAUACCCCUGUAGUCCUAGCCGUAAACGAUGGACACUAGGUGUUG